Molecule: non-coding RNA, 137 nt
Filed under: Lepisosteus oculatus (spotted gar)
Lineage: Eukaryota; Metazoa; Chordata; Actinopteri; Semionotiformes; Lepisosteidae
Description: Eukaryotic large subunit ribosomal RNA
Rfam family: Eukaryotic large subunit ribosomal RNA
Source: Rfam by way of RNAcentral
UAGUAAUCCUAUUCAGAAUGAGAGGGACCAUAGAUUUAGACAUGUGGUGUCACUGCUUAGCUGAGGAGCCAACUGUGUGAAGCUCCUGUCUGUGGGAUUAUGACCAAAAUGCCUCUAAAUCAGAAUCCCCACUAAAA